UGUGGACACACCAGACUCAGAGGAGGCAAAAGAGUCAUCACUGAUCUUCCCUCUUGAUUUGAAAAAAGAAAAUGUGGACACACCAGACUCAGAGGAGGCAAAAGAGUCAUCACUGAUCUUCCCUCUUGAUUUAAAAAAAGAAAAAUUGAAGAAACGGAGGUCACAGCCCAGCGAACAUUUGAGCAUCAAGUCUGGCCAGUCCCUUGAAAACCCAU
This is a long non-coding RNA of Larimichthys crocea (large yellow croaker), 215 nucleotides long. RefSeq lists it as uncharacterized. The transcript has 3 exons. NCBI's taxonomy places the organism in Eukaryota, Metazoa, Chordata, Actinopteri, Sciaenidae. The record is from RefSeq and is a predicted model, not a curated record.